UGUGAAUGAUGAAAGGUCUUUGCCUGACAUGACUGUGAGGGUCAAAACUGAUUUAAUGAGCCUGAUGC
This is a small nucleolar RNA of Xiphias gladius (swordfish), 68 nucleotides long. The record is from RefSeq and is a predicted model, not a curated record. Lineage: Eukaryota; Metazoa; Chordata; Actinopteri; Istiophoriformes; Xiphiidae.